This 155-nucleotide ribosomal RNA is filed under the name Cornus kousa. RNAcentral's name for it is "partial 5.8S ribosomal RNA". It matches the Rfam family "5.8S ribosomal RNA". From Rfam's summary of the family: 5.8S ribosomal RNA (5.8S rRNA) is a component of the large subunit of the eukaryotic ribosome. It is transcribed by RNA polymerase I as part of the 45S precursor that also contains 18S and 28S rRNA. The record is from RNAcentral. Lineage: Eukaryota; Viridiplantae; Streptophyta; Magnoliopsida; Cornales; Cornaceae.
GACUCUCAACAAAGGAUAUCUCGGCUCUCGCAUCGAUGAAGAACGUAGUCAAAUGUGAUACUUGGUGUGAAUUACAGAAUCCCGUGAACCAUUGAGUCUUUGAACGCAAGUUGCACCCGAAGCCAUUCGGCCGAGGGCACGUCUGCCUGGGCGUC